GGAUCAUCUGUAUGUAACUUAUGCUGUACCAGAUUCAAAGCAUCUAAUAUGUCUGCAUGCUCCUGAUGCUUUCAGACAUUUGUCUCACGUGAAUCAGUUCCAGCAGCAGGGAUAGCAGAGCAGACCGCCUCAGUGACUUAUGAGCCAGCUGGGUUUUCCUUUGAGUUAAUUGAAAAUUGCAUGACACUGAUUUAAAUGAAGCAGUACUCUGUAAUAACAGUUUUCUUUUCCUUGUCUGACAUGUGAUUGAGUUACAAAGGGGAAUGCAUUUGCAACAGGUGCCUCUAACACAGUGCAGGCAUGAGGGCCUCCAUGUCCACCCUCAGUAACCUCCCUCUGCCCCUGAGCCCUAAGCCUGCCAGGGAAACCUGAUUCCAGUUCAGACACUGGCACACUCUGCUGCUGCAGCCCUCGGAGUCUCCACUGGUGUGCAACCCUGAGAGCUUCAGAGAUGUCCUAGUGAAGGCAACACAUGAGAUACGGUGGAGGCAGACUCAUAGAGACAUCAGUGAGCAAGAAUUCACCUGUUGUGUCUCCAGCCAACAUGAAGACCGCUGCCUCAGUGUGAAAGGUUGCCAUAGACCUGGUGCAGGCCUCUUCGUGGUCUUUUCUCUCUUACACAUACACUCACAGGUUUUUCUUUCUCCAUCUCUUUCUACUUUCUUCAUCCCUUUUAGUACUGAAAACCUCCACUUUCCGAUGUCUAUAAUGAAGUUGCUGCCUGUCCCGGUUAUUUACCUGCUGGAUGUAUUAAAAAAUGGAUGAGGGCUCCAAACAUGGCAGCCAUUUUUUUUUUUUUUUUCAAUUAAAGUUAGUCAUCCAGUGCAUAUGCUUAAGUCU
Long non-coding RNA from Seriola aureovittata, 840 nucleotides. RefSeq lists it as uncharacterized. The transcript has 3 exons. NCBI's taxonomy places the organism in Eukaryota, Metazoa, Chordata, Actinopteri, Carangiformes, Carangidae. The record is from RefSeq and is a predicted model, not a curated record.